RNAcentral lists this ribosomal RNA (253 nucleotides) under uncultured bacterium. RNAcentral's name for it is "partial 16S ribosomal RNA". It matches the Rfam family "Bacterial small subunit ribosomal RNA", at positions 524 to 776 of the family's 1533-position model. The record is from RNAcentral.
GACGGAGGGGGCUAGCGUUGUUCGGAAUGACUGGGCGUAAAGGGCGCGUAGGCGGUUUUUUAAGUGAGGCGUGAAAGCCCUGGGCUUAACCCAAGAGGUGCGUUUCAUACUGGAAGACUUGAGUACGAGAGAGGAAAGCGGAAUUCCUAGUGUAGAGGUGAAAUUCGUAGAUAUUAGGAAGAACACCAGUGGCGAAGGCGGCUUUCUGGCUCGUAACUGACGCUGAGGCGCGAAAGCGUGGGGAGCAAACAGG